ACCCCUUCCUGCCCUUCAUCUUCAUCGUCCUCAUCGGCUUUAUGGUCCUCAUCCCCCACAGCGCCUUCCUGCCCUUCAUCCCCCAGAGCCCCUUCCUGCCCUUCAUCUUCAUCGUCCUCAUCAGUUUUAUCGUCCUCAUCCCCAGAGCCCCUUCCUGCCCUUCAUCGCCUUCGUCCCCCUCAUCGGCUUUAUUGUCCUCAUCCCACUCAUCCCCAACAUCCCCUUCCUGCCCUGCACCGUCUUUGUCCCCCUCAUCAUCAGCUUCAUCGUCCUCAUUGGCUUUAUCAUGCUCAUCCCCCUCAUCCCCAAAGCCCUUUCCUGCCCUUCAUCACCCUCAUCCCCCUCAUCUCCAACAACCCCUUCCUGCCCUUCAUCGGAUUCAUCACCCUCGUUGCCUUCAUCAUCCCUCACUGCCCCCUCAUUGCCCUCAUCCCUAAUGCCCCCUUCCUGCCCCUCAUCGUCUUCAUCACCCUCAUUGCUCUCAUCUCCAACAGCCUCUUCCUGCCCUUCAUCUCCUUCGUCCCCAACAGCCCCUUUUGCCUUCAUCCUCUACGUUGCCUUCAUGCCCAACAUCCACAGGAGCCCCUUCAUCACCUUCAUUCCAUUUGUUCCCUUCAACCCCUUCCUCCCCUUCAUCACCUUCAUUCUUAUAUCAACACGUUCUCUAAAUCUUUCUCCCCUUUUUCUUAAUAUCUUUUCAUCUUUUUGUAGUAAAGCUGUUCCACAGGUUUCUCACCUGUGACUGAAAUUUAAAAAAAAAGCCUAGGAGGUGGCUGAGAGGAAAUUAUUUGGGUCACUGGGGUGAUGUGGGGACUGACCCUCACAGCCCUGAGGGGCCCAGGCUGUCACUGGCUUGGGACCCAUUUGUGCUGCACAUAAAUUGUACUGUUCCAUCUAAACCAAGUUUUUUGCUCUGCUGUUUCUGAGCAAGUACCUGAGAGGAAAAAAAAACCCUCCAUAAUCACUUGCUGGGAGAUGUCUGUAUUUGUACUGCAGGACAUAACAGUGUGUCUGCCCUUAAUUUCUCUCUCCCCUGUAUGUUCUAUUCAUAAUGCAGUCAAAGAUGUAUUCCUCCCAAGCUAGGACUUUUUACCUUGAAUUUGUUGAGAAUUUGCCAUUUUCCCAGGGAAAAAUCCCCAAUUUAAAUCCACAGGACAUUAAUACAUUUAGAGAAGAGCUGUGAUCCCAAGGCUUGUUUCACACAAGAGAUGACUCCUGGCCAAAACUGAUCAUUGCCCUCUCCAGAACAGCUGCUGAGAUCUUCAGUCCAGCAGGAAAAACACGCCUUAAAUGAACUCUUGUAAGAAUUGCUGUAUUGAUGUCCAGAACUAUUAUAAAUAUUGAUGUAUCAAGUCACUGCUUUCAUAGUUACUACUGCUGUGUAUCUUCCCCACAGACACAAAUGCAAGGGGACAACUCUGUUUAUGAUAUUUUUUAGUGACAUCUGGCAUUCUCACAGGAAGCCUGGUGCCUGCUUGUCUGUUCGGGGGAGCCACAUUCAUGACUCAAAGCCAAGCUGCAAAAGGGAACAUUAUUGUUACUAACUCUAAAGGAAUGAAUAUGAUCAGGAGUGAGGACUUGAAGUUAAAAGCAAGUGUUGAUUUAUUGAGUGUCGUUCUCUGUGAAUAAAAGUCAAGCUUGGCCAGCUGGUGAAAGUAUGGAGCUGUUGUUUCCUCGUGUGCUCUCAUGCAUAGGAAAUCUCCUGACCUUGGCCUUGGUCGUACUGAUCACUCAUUUCAGCUCACAGAAGGAUUUGCCCUGGGACAAUGUGCUGUUUGACUUCUCACAAAGCAGAAAAGCUCCCCUCUUCCACAGAAAUUCUACCAAAAACCUGCGUAGCUUGUGUUCAACCCACCUUUGAGCUCCUGAACUAGUAAUGGGAAGUUGGAUAAUGAGACAGCUCAGUCACAGAAUGCUGCAGUAGAUUCAUGUGAAAUACAAACAUCUGUGUGCAUCUUUAGUCUGCAUUUCCCAAACGUUUGUAUCAUGAAAUUACAGAUUAAUUAAAUUAAGGAUUCAGUAACAGAUAGAUAUGUAACAAAUGUGCAAGAUUUUAAUGAAUUUUCCAUUGUUUCUUGAGGUUUGCUUGAAGCUGACUGGAAUGUUCUGCUCUUGAGAUUUCUAGGCAGCAAGGUGUAUGAAUCAUCAGAAUAUUGAAUGUAUCAGAGCAGCAGCAGUUGCUGGAUUUUCAAAGUAAGAGAUAUCUUUUGGUUC
Molecule: long non-coding RNA, 2214 nt
Organism: Passer domesticus (house sparrow)
Lineage: Eukaryota; Metazoa; Chordata; Aves; Passeriformes; Passeridae
Exons: 3
Source: RefSeq, a predicted model, not a curated record